Long non-coding RNA from Carassius carassius (crucian carp), 655 nucleotides. RefSeq lists it as uncharacterized. The transcript is spliced from 2 exons. The record is from RefSeq and is a predicted model, not a curated record. Lineage: Eukaryota; Metazoa; Chordata; Actinopteri; Cypriniformes; Cyprinidae.
GGCUAUCAAAGACUGAUACUAUUUUUUUUUUUUAUCUUAAAGAAUGUUGGUAACCAAACCAUUUGGGUGACCAUUGGUUUAAAAAAAAUAAAAAAAAAAAAAAUAAUAAUAAUAAUCUCAAAAUACCUUCUUUUAUGUUCCCGAGAUGCCAAAAACCAGUAGAGGUUUGAAACGACGUGAGGGUGAGUAAAUGAUGACAGAAUUAAAAUUUUUGAGUGAACCAUCCCUUUAAAGAAAACCAUAUCAGUUUGGCUAUAAAGGGUGGGAUUCAAUCUGCAUAUUCAGAGACUUCAUUAAUGCCAAAGUUAUUCUGUGAUAAAUGAUAAUGAAGCUGAAAUGAGAUUUCAUAAUUAUGUCUUACUGCUGUGAUAAAGACCCAGUCUUGUUCUCCUGUCACAGUGGAACGGGGAGAAUGAUGCCAUCUCGCAAAGAUCCAAAACCAAGGUCACAGUGUCUGAAUGGCCUUUGUCUCCAAAACCGGGUGUCAUAUUUACAGAAAUAGCUUCAAGGUUCCCCUCCAUUUCAUACAUUACUCAGCAAGACAGCUAGACUGCCUGCAUCAGCAUCAAAUUGUCCUGCCAACCACCACUGAGCCGAGACACCUGCUUCACCCAUCCUUCAUCUCCACUGUUAUUAAAAUACAUAUAUUAUCAUC